RNAcentral lists this transfer RNA (60 nucleotides) under uncultured Sphingomonas sp. It matches the Rfam family "tRNA", at positions 7 to 64 of the family's 71-position model. From Rfam's summary of the family: Transfer RNA (tRNA) molecules are approximately 80 nucleotides in length. Their secondary structure includes four short double-helical elements and three loops (D, anti-codon, and T loops). Lineage: Bacteria; Pseudomonadati; Pseudomonadota; Alphaproteobacteria; Sphingomonadales; Sphingomonadaceae. RNAcentral also lists the same sequence under 3 other names. The record is from RNAcentral.
GGUAGCUCAGUGGUAGAGCAAUCGGCUGUUAACCGAUCGGUCGCUGGUUCGAAUCCGGCC